This is a non-coding RNA of Schistosoma rodhaini, 38 nucleotides long. The record is from Rfam. Lineage: Eukaryota; Metazoa; Platyhelminthes; Trematoda; Strigeidida; Schistosomatidae.
UGCUGAUGAGUCCCAUAAUAGGACGAAACGGCCGUCCA